This 322-nucleotide ribosomal RNA is filed under the name uncultured eukaryote. Its description in RNAcentral is "partial 18S ribosomal RNA". It matches the Rfam family "Eukaryotic small subunit ribosomal RNA", at positions 1470 to 1796 of the family's 1831-position model. The record is from RNAcentral.
CCCUUAGAUGUUCUGGGCCGCACGCGUGCUACACUGAGUGGAUCAGCGGGUCAGGUUGCGCGAAAGCGUUUCCUAAUCUUUAAAUCCGCUCGUGAUGGGGAUUGACGGUUGCAAUUUUCCGUCAUGAACGAGGAAUACCUUGUAAGCGCGGGUCAUCAUCCCGCGCUGAAUACGUCCCUGCCCUUUGUACACACCGCCCGUCGCUCCUACCGAUUGAGUGGUCCGGUGAGGCUUUGGGAUCUGAGCGGAAAGAGCGUUUCGCUGUUUCUGCUCGGAAAACUCAGUCGAACCUUAUCAUUUAGAGGAAGGAGGAGUCGUAACA